GUUCUCCUAUACGCAUACCAUGCAGUCGAACGAUGAACCACCUUCGGGUGGGGAUUAGUGGCGAACGGGUGAGUAACACGUGGGCAAUCUGCCCUGCACUCUGGGACAAGCCCUGGAAACGGGGUCUAAUACCGGAUACUGAUCCUCGCGGGCAUCUGCGAGGUUCGAAAGCUCCGGCGGUGCAGGAUGAGCCCGCGGCCUAUCAGCUUGUUGGUGAGGUAAUGGCUCACCAAGGCGACGACGGGUAGCCGGCCUGAGAGGGCGACCGGCCACACUGGGACUGAGACACGGCCCAGACUCCUACGGGAGGCAGCAGUGGGGAAUAUUGCACAAUGGGCGAAAGCCUGAUGCAGCGACGCCGCGUGAGGGAUGACGGCCUUCGGGUUGUAAACCUCUUUCAGCAGGGAAGAAGCGAAAGUGACGGUACCUGCAGAAGAAGCGCCGGCUAACUACGUGCCAGCAGCCGCGGUAAUACGUAGGGCGCAAGCGUUGUCCGGAAUUAUUGGGCGUAAAGAGCUCGUAGGCGGCUUGUCACGUCGGUUGUGAAAGCCCGGGGCUUAACCCCGGGUCUGCAGUCGAUACGGGCAGGCUAGAGUUCGGUAGGGGAGAUCGGAAUUCCUGGUGUAGCGGUGAAAUGCGCAGAUAUCAGGAGGAACACCGGUGGCGAAGGCGGAUCUCUGGGCCGAUACUGACGCUGAGGAGCGAAAGCGUGGGGAGCGAACAGGAUUAGAUACCCUGGUAGUCCACGCCGUAAACGGUGGGCACUAGGUGUGGGCAACAUUCCACGUUGUCCGUGCCGCAGCUAACGCAUUAAGUGCCCCGCCUGGGGAGUACGGCCGCAAGGCUAAAACUCAAGGAUUUGACGGGGGCCCGCACAAGCGGCGGAGCAUGUGGUUAAUUCGACGCAACGCGAAGAACCUUACCAGGCUUGACAUACACCCGAAAAACUCUGGAGACAGGUUCCCCUUUGUGUCGGUGUACAGGUGUGCAUGCUGUCGUCAGCUCGUGUCGAGAGAUGUUGGGUUAAGU
This 1029-nucleotide ribosomal RNA is filed under the name Streptomyces mutabilis. RNAcentral's name for it is "bacterial SSU rRNA". It matches the Rfam family "Bacterial small subunit ribosomal RNA", at positions 42 to 1085 of the family's 1533-position model. The record is from RNAcentral. Lineage: Bacteria; Bacillati; Actinomycetota; Actinomycetes; Kitasatosporales; Streptomycetaceae.